GUUUGACACCCCGAAACUAAGCGAGCUACUUUAGAACAGCAUAUAGCGCCAACCCAUCCAUAUUGCAAAAUGGUGGGAAGAUUUUAAAGUAGAGGUGACACACCUACCGAGCCUAGAGAUAGCUGGUUAUUCAGAAAAAGGAUUUUAGUCCUACCUUAAGCCCAACUAGCAAUUACUAGACACCCCCCAAUGCUUAAAAGUCAUUCAAAUAAGGUUCAGCCUAUUUGAACAAGGAAACAGCCUAACAUCUUGGGUACUAAUAUAUAACAUGACUAAGUAGGCCUAAGAGCAGCCAACUUCCAAAAAGCGUCCAAGCUUCCCCAUAACAAUUCUUUAUACCACCACUUUUUAACAACCCACAACCACCACUGAAUGAUCUUAUAUUUAUAUAGGAAACAUAAUGCUAGAACUAGUAAUAAGAACUGAAAUUCUCCAAAAUGUAAAUGUGAGCCAAAAUGGACUGCCUUUGGCACUUACCCGCCCAUAUUAAUGUAGCCACCCCAACAAGAAAAUUCUACAACACUUAACGUCAACCUCACACUAGAACAUCUCUGGAAAGAUUAAAAGGGGGGGAAGGAACUCGGCAAAUA
RNAcentral lists this ribosomal RNA (590 nucleotides) under Anilany helenae. Its description in RNAcentral is "partial 16S ribosomal RNA". The stretch from base 1 to 407 matches the Rfam family "Bacterial large subunit ribosomal RNA", at positions 705 to 1300 of the family's 2925-position model. The record is from RNAcentral. Lineage: Eukaryota; Metazoa; Chordata; Amphibia; Anura; Microhylidae.